Molecule: non-coding RNA, 1156 nt
Organism: Nothobranchius furzeri (turquoise killifish)
Lineage: Eukaryota; Metazoa; Chordata; Actinopteri; Cyprinodontiformes; Nothobranchiidae
Source: RefSeq, a predicted model, not a curated record
AUAACAUGAAAAACCCACUUUUUUAUCCAUUAACACAGUGUGUUUCACAUUUUAAGUGUCUAAGUGAGCAAAAAGGCUUAUAUUAUUCACUGGAGUUGCUAUUUAGAUAUUUAAUAAUUAAGUUUUGGGCAUAUUUGUCCACCCGUUCAGUUUUUACAUUAUCCAUUACGUCAGUAAUUAAUUUAGUCAGGAUAACUACCAAAUAUGGUAAUGGCCCUCGGCUAAACACAGAGCCAAUCCACCAUUUUUUCUUCUCGCUAAGAUUUUUUGUAGUCCUAUUGGAAAAAUGCAGAAUGUCUGGUUAUUUUAGCCACACACAGCUCAAAACUGUUCCUCGUUUUAAGGAAGGGUGGUGUGGCAGUAUUUAAACCCAGGAGCUGAUGACACUACUGCUAAAAAAACACAGAAGAAAAAGUAGUGUGUUUGUGUUUGUUUGUGUGUGUGUGUGUGUGUGUGCGCGUGGUUCGUUCGUUCCUGUCUCCAGGCUAGUAAGUACUGAGGGCUUCAUCUAUCUAAAAGGAGUCAUUUGCAUCUGAAUUUGGCAGCACCGGGACACAGCAGCAGAGCGAGUCAACAUCCAGAAGACUGGAGCCGUGUUUCACUGACAGGCUGUCAGACUAAAGCCCUGAUGAGCUCAGCUGGGACAAACUGGUCUGAUGUUUAGGAACACAGAACGUUCAGAUGUUGGCAUUUCACGUCACCUACUGAGGAAGGAGGCUCACCAGUAAAGAGAUGGUAGCUGGACCAGACCAAAAAUAUGGCGAUGACAUCAUGGAACUGGUCUUUGGAAAAGUUUUCCCUGAACCAACUCCGUUUCUAGAUGAGGUAGAGAAGAUCUGCAUCUCACCAACCCUCUGGUCUCAGUAUUCAGACAACGGAGGUCUCCCACUGUUAUCCAGGACCAGUUUGAAGCCCACAUACUGCCCCUCCCUCAUCAUCAGGAAACAUCAAUUCGUAUCCUGAGGACAACAGAAGACGGCAGGAGGACAGGAACUCUGAGACCUAGACACCACCAGCACCGAGACACAAAGCACCUGUGUGCACAACGCCUGUUUUAACUACUAAAGCCUGUUUAUUAUAUAGUUCUACUUAUUUGCUGUGAGGUUAAUACUUAGAAAAUGUGUAUAUUAAUGUAAACAAUAAAAAAAUCACUGAU